UACGGAGGGUGCAAGCGUUAAUCGGAAUUACUGGGCGUAAAGCGCGCGUAGGCGGCUUAGUAAGUCGGAUGUGAAAUCCCCGGGCUUAACCUGGGAACUGCAUUCGAUACUGCUGAGCUAGAGUAUGGAAGAGGGAAGUGGAAUUCCGGGUGUAGCGGCGAAAUGCGUAGAUAUCCGGAGGAACACCAGUGGCGAAGGCGGCUUCCUGGGCCAAUACUGACGCUGAGGUGCGAAAGCGUGGGGAGCAAACAGG
This 253-nucleotide ribosomal RNA is filed under the name uncultured bacterium. RNAcentral describes it as "partial 16S ribosomal RNA". It matches the Rfam family "Bacterial small subunit ribosomal RNA", at positions 524 to 776 of the family's 1533-position model. The record is from RNAcentral.